AUGAUCUGUGUUGGUGAUGAAUUGAGACACUCAAAGGCUAAGAGAUGUUUGACUCAAAAGCCAAGAGAAGAAACAAAUUGCAACUUAUGUUGCGGCGUCGGUGUUGAUGUUGUGUUUGUCGCGAAUAGUUUGGUAGAGGUCGAACCUGGAAUCAUGGUUGAGAAUAUUGCUGCAGAUUGGUUUGAAGUUGGCGGAAGAUUUUAUGAUGUUUGUGCAAAAAUUUUGUAG
Non-coding RNA from Vicia faba (fava bean), 228 nucleotides. The record is from the annotation of a GenBank genome assembly. NCBI's taxonomy places the organism in Eukaryota, Viridiplantae, Streptophyta, Magnoliopsida, Fabales, Fabaceae.